AACUCUGAUAUACCAAGUAACUAUGCUAAAUCUAGCUUUGAUGGGAGAGAUGUUGAGGUGAUUGAUUUGGAAAAUGAUUCUGAACAAGAAGAGAAGGCUCUCAUCAACCCUGAGAGAAAGUCUGAAAUUGUAUUCACUGGAGCAGAUGGCUUUUCUGAUAAUGCACAUAGUACCAACAAUAUACCCCAUGCUCAGGAUGGUUAUGGACUUAUGAUUUCAGAAUUACUUGGGAAUGAUAUAGCAAACUGUCCUCCUUUACCAGCAGAUAUGGAUUCUUUGCACAAUGAUAUGGGCCUCCACAAUGGACUCCAUAAUGGAGAGGGCAUGCUUGGUGAUGAUGAUUCAAUAUAUAUGUCCUUGGGAGAAAUUCCGAUAAGUUUUCUGUCACCCUGGGAGCAGCCGGCACAAGAAUUUGGAAAGCCAUUUUGAGGUGCUAUGAUCCAUGUUUUCUUGAGAUGUAUUUUUUUUUGAUAACCAAGAAAUCUCAAGGGUCAGUGGUGCAUGGUUCGAAACUCAGGUGGAUAAUGGAUUGCUCUCUACUCUUCUCCACUUAAAUUCUAGGCUUUUGUCUGUGGCAAGUUUCUAACCCCUGAUGUGUGCCUAACCCACACAUAUCACACUGCGCUGUUACCACUAUAUC
RNAcentral lists this unclassified non-coding RNA (640 nucleotides) under Hevea brasiliensis (rubber tree). Lineage: Eukaryota; Viridiplantae; Streptophyta; Magnoliopsida; Malpighiales; Euphorbiaceae. The record is from RNAcentral.